RNAcentral lists this small RNA (67 nucleotides) under Arabidopsis thaliana (thale cress). Its description in RNAcentral is "ATSL305300". Lineage: Eukaryota; Viridiplantae; Streptophyta; Magnoliopsida; Brassicales; Brassicaceae. The record is from RNAcentral.
CCAGAGGAGAUGAUUUGCUUGAGGAGUCUUUGAUCAUGACAAUGCUUUUUUAACCUCUGAUGUAACU